Molecule: RNA transcript, 2737 nt
Organism: Peromyscus eremicus (cactus mouse)
Lineage: Eukaryota; Metazoa; Chordata; Mammalia; Rodentia; Cricetidae
Gene: Septin11
Gene name: septin 11
Exons: 10
Source: RefSeq, a predicted model, not a curated record
GGGAGGCGCGGGGGAGGCCAGCGGGAACCGGGGCGCCAGCAGCAGCAGCAGCAGCAGCAGCAGCAGCCUGUGUCGGCGGAGAGCAGUCGGGCGCAACCGGAGCCGCAGUCGCGAUGGCCGUGGCUGUGGGGAGACCGAGUAAUGAGGAGCUUCGAAACUUAUCGCUUUCUGGCCAUGUUGGAUUUGACAGUCUCCCUGACCAGCUGGUCAACAAAUCCACUUCUCAAGGAUUCUGUUUCAACAUCCUGUGUGUGGGUGAGACGGGGAUUGGCAAAUCCACGUUGAUGGACACUUUAUUCAACACCAAAUUUGAAAGUGACCCAGCUACUCACAACGAGCCAGGUGUCCGGUUGAAAGCCAGAAGUUACGAACUUCAGGAGAGCAAUGUCCGGCUGAAGCUCACCAUUGUGGACACGGUGGGAUUUGGAGACCAGAUUAAUAAAGAUGACAGCUAUAAACCUAUCGUGGAAUACAUUGAUGCCCAGUUUGAGGCCUACUUGCAAGAGGAAUUGAAAAUUAAACGUUCUCUCUUCAACUACCAUGACACGAGGAUUCACGCCUGCCUUUACUUCAUCGCCCCCACGGGACAUUCACUGAAGUCCCUGGACCUGGUCACCAUGAAGAAGCUAGACAGCAAGGUGAACAUCAUUCCAAUCAUUGCAAAAGCUGACACCAUUGCCAAGAACGAAUUGCACAAAUUCAAGAGUAAGAUCAUGAGUGAACUGGUCAGCAACGGAGUCCAGAUCUAUCAGUUCCCCACAGACGAGGAGACGGUGGCCGAGAUCAACGCAACGAUGAGUGUCCAUCUCCCCUUUGCGGUGGUUGGCAGCACGGAAGAAGUGAAGAUUGGCAACAAGAUGGCCAAGGCCAGGCAGUACCCUUGGGGUGUGGUGCAGGUUGAGAAUGAAAACCACUGUGAUUUUGUGAAGCUGCGGGAGAUGCUGAUCCGGGUGAACAUGGAGGACCUGCGGGAGCAGACGCACACGCGCCACUAUGAGUUGUACCGGCGUUGUAAGCUUGAGGAAAUGGGCUUCAAGGACACGGACCCCGACAGCAAGCCCUUCAGCCUGCAGGAGACGUAUGAAGCAAAAAGGAACGAGUUCCUGGGAGAGCUGCAGAAGAAGGAGGAGGAGAUGAGGCAGAUGUUUGUCAUGAGAGUGAAGGAGAAGGAGGCGGAGCUUAAAGAGGCGGAGAAAGAGCUUCAUGAGAAGUUCGACCUCCUGAAGCGGACACACCAAGAGGAGAAGAAAAAGGUGGAAGACAAGAAGAAGGAGCUUGAGGAGGAGGUGAGCAACUUCCAGAAGAAGAAGGCGGCCGCCCAGCUCCUGCAGUCCCAGGCCCAGCAGUCCGGGGCCCAGCAGACCAAGAAGGACAAGGAUAAGAAAAAGUAAGCAGGUGUCGCCCGCCUCCUGGGGACCGCUAACACUCUCUUCUCUUGCAUGUCCACCUUUCCUACUCACAGACUGGAGACUGGUCUGUUGCCAGAGAAAUAAAAGCAAGUAUUUUUCUCGACGGUGCAGGGAAGAGGGCAGAAGUUUUUAAGGUAUUUCUGAAGGGUACAGGGAUUAAUUAUAGACGUCACGGGGGCCAUCAAGCAGUCAGGACUGGAGUACCCUGUCGGCUCUUCGUGUAGCAGCUUCAGUACCCACCCCGGGAGACGCAGGGAAGACGGGCUGGCUUCUCUGAGUGCCUCUGGAGACGUUCUCCUGACUCUUGGUAAAAGAGCGUUCUAAAUUCCCAGUUGUUCUCGGGGUUCUCUGCCCUGUUAGCAUGGCGAGCCAGCUACCGAAUGUUGUUCCAAAGUGCAGCUAGGGGGCGCUGGGCUUUUUUCUAAAUUCGACAAGCUGGACGAUUAUCUUAUUGUGCAAACUCAACCAAAAUGCCACCCGUUUAGCAUAGCCCCAGCAGCCCUCAUGGCACCCCUGAGCCCCACACGGAGCAGUUUCAACACAGCCUUGAUUUCAAGUGCCAAAGGGCCCGAGGCUGCUCUUGUGUCGUCACUUCCGGUGGCACACCACACCCCCCCAUCCCCGACCCCCAGCAGCCGUCAGAAACCAGCGGAGAGGUGCGCUUCUUGAACUUGUGUGAUUUGAAGCUGUCCCUCGAGUCACCUUCAAGAGCAGAGGGGGGGUAGUGUUGCGACAGUAGCUGUGGGCUUGACAGCUUCUUCUUUAUGUAGCCAUCCCGUUGCCAAGCCCUACUCUCUCUUAAUGGACAGCAUUAGAAGAGCAGGAGCUGUCUGCUCACACGAGUUGGGGAAGAGUUACCUCAUUUCCGUCAUCGCCUCCCGUCCUUUACAGUCUGGGUCAAAUAUUGCACUGCUGUUUGUAUUUGUCAUUGUCUGUUUACAAACCACCACCCUCAGUGGCUCCUGAAGUGACUUCAACUACCAAAAAUAGUGACAAUAUUAUUGAAAGUGAAAUAGAGAACCUGGGUCCAAACCCCGGGUCUCGGGCUGGAAUGCUCUUGCCUAGCUGCCAUAUUCUUGAACCUCCUGAUCUAAGACCUUAUGGACCGAAGAGAGCAUGUACCCCACUUGAGGUGGGCACCACCUGUGGGGCAAACUUAGCUCAUGGUACCCCUUGAUCUCUAUCCCUCUGGCAACUCUGACCAGCCCCAUCAGGAUCCUCAGCCAUCAGCAGGUCCUAAGAGUGGGACAACCCUUGCCUUCUGUUAGUUUUGUGGGUUGUUUCGGUUUGGGAUUAAAGAAAAAGUAUUUGCUAUUGCAUGUACAGAG